UACGUAGGGGGCAAGCGUUGUCCGGAAUCAUUGGGCGUAAAGAGCGCGUAGGCGGUAACUCAAGUCAGAUGUGAAAUAUCCGGGCUUAACCCGGAGGGGUCAUUUGAAACUGAGUAACUAGAGUACAGCAGAGGAUAGCGGAAUUCCCGGUGUAGUGGUGAAAUGCGUAGAUAUCGGGAGGAACACCAGUGGCGAAGGCGGCUAUCUGGCUCGAUACUGACACUGAGAUGCGAAAGCGUGGGGAUCAAACAGG
RNAcentral lists this ribosomal RNA (253 nucleotides) under uncultured bacterium. RNAcentral's name for it is "partial 16S ribosomal RNA". It matches the Rfam family "Bacterial small subunit ribosomal RNA", at positions 524 to 776 of the family's 1533-position model. The record is from RNAcentral.